CCUGGACUCAGGUUAAAGGAUUCCCAGAA
RNAcentral lists this non-coding RNA (29 nucleotides) under Mus musculus (house mouse). The record is from RNAcentral. Lineage: Eukaryota; Metazoa; Chordata; Mammalia; Rodentia; Muridae.